This 274-nucleotide ribosomal RNA is filed under the name uncultured bacterium. RNAcentral's name for it is "partial 16S ribosomal RNA". It matches the Rfam family "Bacterial small subunit ribosomal RNA", at positions 523 to 796 of the family's 1533-position model. The record is from RNAcentral.
AUACAGAGGGUGCGAGCGUUAAUCGGAAUUACUGGGCGUAAAGCGCGCGUAGGCGGUUGCGUAAGUCGGAUGUGAAAGCCCCGGGCUUAACCUGGGAAUUGCAUUCGAAACUGCGCGAGUAGAGUCUGAUAGAGGGAAGUGGAAUUUCCGGUGUAGCGGUGAAAUGCGUAGAUAUCGGAAGGAACACCAGUGGCGAAGGCGGCUUCCUGGAUCAAGACUGACGCUCAGGUGCGAAAGCGUGGGGAGCAAACAGGAUUAGAAACCCGAGUAGUCC